UCCCUAGUCUGUACCAAAUCCUUACACACCGACGACACAGGAUCGAAAAUUUCUCGGCGGCGGCGGCGACGGCGACGACCAAGAUCCUGAGCCAAGCUGGGCGGGCUCGCGCAGCAAAGAUGCCGAUCCAUCUCCUCUCCGAUGGCUCCUAGGUCCUAGCCGUUUCGUCGCAGGUGGCGCAGUUUGAGGCAGAUUAGAUCGGAUUCCUCACCUCCUCCCCACUCUCAGGCUCCCAGAUCAGCUCGCGGCCGUCCUCCUCCACCCCCACCCCCUCUCGCGAUUCAGCACUAGCUCAACGCUCGUGGAUCCUCGCCUCCUUCCCAGCCGGCCGCUCUCUGGUUCUGCGAACAGGCCGCCACGGUUCUUCGUUCUGCAGUUGCUGGAGUAGUAACAGCAGAAGAAUGAACAGCAGCUUGAGUAGAAUAGAAGCAGAUCCAUUCUGGUGAUGCUUAUGUUGGUUGGAUUCUUAUUUUAUCCAGAAGCAGCAUGCUGAUUAGUGCUAUGACUUAGUUAUGGUAUUGUGUAUUGCUACCAGAAGCAGCACGUGUACCGACUGUACAUAAACGCUAACCGAUUUCUAGCAUGAAGCAAUACACUAGCAAAUCUAGCUAUUCCGGCGAGAUGCACUAGUACAGGAAGUAGGCUGCUCUGGCUUCGUCGAUUCUUCAGCGGCAAGCCGACGCGCACACACGAUCCAGUAAUGGAGGGUAGCAGUGCGAUGUCUCCGCUAGGAGAGCCCUCAAUUCCAAUGAUCGCAGCAUGUGCACCAGCACUAUCACGUGUGAGAAUAGCGCCAUGGAAUCGGUCAACAGUGUUCAAAAUCAAGGAUGUGUGUAUGUGAUUUAGUACUAAUCCUUCAUCCAUGGCAUGAGCCUAUCUGGCAUCUUGUUCAUUUAUAUUUUCCCGUGCUGCUGUGGUUUUCUUAUUAUUACAAGGUAUAAUAUAAUGCAUGCCAUCAAGUUUUGUUUAUAGCUAUCAAAUUUGAAUAAUAAUUUGCAUCUGCAGGGCAUUCAUAAAACUCCCUUUAAAUUGUUCAAUGCCACUUAUUUGUCGUUCUCAUUUGUGCUUUUAACUAACCUUGGAAUUAUAAUCCAUUUAUUGUAGGUCUAUAAUGAAAUAAUGAACUAUGCUGCAACAAAAAAAUUGUACUCUCUCUGUUAGACAUAUCCAACUAUCACAUGCCAUUUUAUUUUAUUUGGAAAAUCCCCUGUAGAAGCUGGAAAGCCAGCUUGACCUACAAAGUUAUCCUGAUUGGUUACAUAUGUAUUAAUAUGUUUGAGGUUCAACCUAAGUUUUGACAUAGUAUAAGUUAUGUUUCCUAGGUUGGAGUGCUGAAAGAAGCUGGACAUAUAUAAUGAUUAUUUCUCUUCUCAAGAUAUGCUAUUUAAUCGAACUGAUCAAGUGUCCAUGGAGGUUGUCAUCUCUCUCCCAGCAGGAAGCUCGAUUGCCAGGAAGCACUAACACGAGGCAAAAUGAUAGAUAUUUUCGUUCUUGUACCAGCAAGAUGCUUGUUGGGCGAUGAUAAUUUCAGUCUUUACCACUUGGUCUUGCCGGCCAUAUACUAAAAAUAAUCUGUAUGCCACAUGUACUCAAGUACUCAAAUGCUUGCUAAGCACUGAUAAUUCCAGUCCUUAAUUUGCUCUACUUCCAGUUCUACUAGCCUUUUGUGAUGUGUUCUCAUGUACUCGAGUACUGAAAUGCUUGCCGAGCAGCUAUCAAUCCUUAAAUUGCUAUA
Triticum dicoccoides is the source of this 1735-nucleotide RNA transcript. RefSeq lists it as uncharacterized. The record is from RefSeq and is a predicted model, not a curated record. The transcript is spliced from 5 exons. Lineage: Eukaryota; Viridiplantae; Streptophyta; Magnoliopsida; Poales; Poaceae.